AUACGUAGGGUGCAAGCGUUAAUCGGAAUUACUGGGCGUCAAGCGUGCGCAGGCGGUUUUGUAAGACAGCGGUGAAAUCCCCGGGCUCCACCCGGGAACUGGCAUUUUGACUGCAAGGCUGGAGUGCGGCAGAGGGGGAUGGAAUUCCGCGUGUGGCAGGGGAAUGCGUAGAUAUGCGGAGGAACACCGAUGGCGAAGGCAAUCCCCUGGGCCUGCACUGACGCUCAUGCACGAAAGCGUGGGGAGCAAACAGGAUUAGAUACCCUGGUAGUCCACGCCCUAAACGAUGUCAACUGGUUGUUGGGGAUUUAUUUUCUCAGUAACGAAGCUAACGCGUGAAGUUGACCGCCUGGGGAGUACGGCCGCAAGGUUAAAACUCAAAUGAAUUGACGGGG
This 395-nucleotide ribosomal RNA is filed under the name uncultured bacterium. Its description in RNAcentral is "partial 16S ribosomal RNA". It matches the Rfam family "Bacterial small subunit ribosomal RNA", at positions 523 to 918 of the family's 1533-position model. The record is from RNAcentral.